ACCAGACUCCUACGGGAGGCAGCAGUGGGGAAUAUUGCACAAUGGGGGAAACCCUGAUGCAGCAACGCCGCGUGGGUGAAGGAGCGUUUCGGCGCGUAAAGCCCUGUCAGCGGGGAAGGAGAAAGACGGCACCCGACCAAGAAGCCCCGGCUAACUACGUGCCAGCAGCCGCGGUAAUACGUAGGGGGCGAGCGUUAUCCGGAAUUACUGGGUGUAAAGGGAGCGUAGACGGCUUGGCAAGUCAGUAGUGAAAUCCAUGGGCUUAACCCAUGAACUGCUAUUGAAACUGUCGAGCUUGAGUGAAGUAGAGGUAGGCGGAAUUCCCGGUGUAGCGGUGAAAUGCGUAGAUAUCACGCAGAACUCCGAUUGCGAAGGCAGCGCACCGGCGCCCUACUGACGCUCAGGCACGAAAGCGUGGGUAUCGAACAGGAUUAGAUACCCCCGUAAC
RNAcentral lists this ribosomal RNA (448 nucleotides) under uncultured bacterium. RNAcentral describes it as "partial 16S ribosomal RNA". It matches the Rfam family "Bacterial small subunit ribosomal RNA", at positions 330 to 795 of the family's 1533-position model. The record is from RNAcentral.